This 509-nucleotide ribosomal RNA is filed under the name uncultured bacterium. RNAcentral's name for it is "bacterial SSU rRNA". It matches the Rfam family "Bacterial small subunit ribosomal RNA", at positions 18 to 518 of the family's 1533-position model. The record is from RNAcentral.
CCUGGCUCAGGAUGAACGCUAGCGACAGGCCUAACACAUGCAAGGUCGAGGGGCAGCACAAGGAGUAAUCUGAGGUGGCGACCGGCGCACGGGUGAGUAACACGUAUGCAACCUGGCUGUAAGAAGGGGAAUAACCCGGAGAAAUCCGGACUAAUACCGCAUAAUACUUAGGAUCCGCAUGGAUUUUUAAGUUAAACAUUUAUGGCUUACAGAUGGGCAUGCGUAUGAUUAGCUGGUUGGAGAGGUAACGGCUCCCCAAGGCAACGAUCAUUAGGGGUUCUGAGAGGAAGGUCCCCCACACUGGUACUGAGACACGGACCAGACUCCUACGGGAGGCAGCAGUGAGGAAUAUUGGUCAAUGGACGCAAGUCUGAACCAGCCAAAGUCGCGUGAAGGAAGAAUGUCCUAUGGAUUGUAAACUUCUUUUAUAAGGGAAUAAAGUGAGGGACGUGUCCCUUUUUGUAUGUACCUUAUGAAUAAGGAUCGGCUAACUCCGUGCCAGCCGCCGC